AGUCACUGACAUUAGAUACCCCGGUAGUCCAGGGUGUAAACGCUGCAGACUUGGUGUUGGGAACCCUUCGGGGGUGCUCAGUGCCGGAGAGAAGUUGUUAAGUCUGCUACUUGGGGAGUACGUCCGCAAGGAUGAAACUUAAAGGAAUUGGCGGGGGAGCACCGCAACGGGAGGAGCGUGCGGUUUAAUUGGAUUCAACGCCGAAAAACUCACCAGCAGCGACUGUUACAUGAAAGUCAGGUUGAUGACCUUACUAGAUUUUUCAG
Molecule: ribosomal RNA, 266 nt
Filed under: uncultured archaeon
Lineage: Archaea
Description: partial 16S ribosomal RNA
Rfam family: Archaeal small subunit ribosomal RNA
Source: RNAcentral